GUAGUCAACCUGCCCUGGAGGCCUGAAUAACCCCGGGAAACUGGGAUUAAUACAUGAUAGGUCAUCUCAUCUGGAAGGAGAGAUGGCUUAAAGGGGUGCGAGAGCUUCUUUCGUGCAUUUGCUCCAGGAUGGGACUGCGUCCGAUCAGGCUGUUGGCGGGGUAAUGGCCCACCAAACCUGUAACCGGUACGGGCCUUGAGAGAGGGGGCCCGGAGAUGGACACUGAGAGAAGGGUCCAGGUCCUACGGGGCGCAGCAGGCGCGAAACCUUCGCAAUGCGCGAAAGCGUGACGAGGUUAAUCCGAGUGGUUCCCGCUGAGGGGAUCUUU
Molecule: ribosomal RNA, 328 nt
Filed under: uncultured euryarchaeote
Lineage: Archaea; Methanobacteriati; Methanobacteriota
Description: bacterial SSU rRNA
Rfam family: Archaeal small subunit ribosomal RNA
Source: RNAcentral